This 675-nucleotide long non-coding RNA is filed under the name Fukomys damarensis (Damara mole-rat). RNAcentral's name for it is "lncRNA (ENSFDAG00000025779.1)". Lineage: Eukaryota; Metazoa; Chordata; Mammalia; Rodentia; Bathyergidae. The record is from RNAcentral.
CAGCGGAGCUGCAUUUAAAAGUGUGUUUCUGGCUUGAGAUUCUCAAAGGAGUAGAAAAGCAAGAACAGAACACUGUCCUAAAUGUUUGGAGAGCUCAGAUGGGGGCAAGCCAUCAAAUGUAACUGUUGUCAUCACAAUUCUUUGCAUAUAUGGCUGAGUCUCAGCUUCUCCUGUUGCUCAUGUGUAAUCCCUCUGAUGAAGAAGCCCUGGUUUCUGGUACCAACUAAGCCUUGGUUCAUUUGACUGAGAUCUUUUGCUGAAAUUAACUCAGAACUCUGUAAAAAGGCAACUGAAAAACUUUGUCUUUUCCGGCCUAGGAAUUUUGGCAUUGUCAUUGAACUUUACAAUCCAAACACAUGUGAAGUGCUUUGGCUUGCUUCCAAUGGUACUAUGUUUGAAAAGUCUUCUAACAAAUUUGUUUUCACCUCUUUAUUCAAGUAUCAAUGCUGAAGAGAAACAGCCUAAUGUAGAGAAAAUAAAAUGAAAUAAUUAAAAAGUUGCAGAAUGUGAAAUGACUGAGAUAAAACCAAGCAGGUCUGUUGGAGAUAAUGGUUAUCUGUUUGCAAUAAACAUGAAGUGAGAACAAGUCAUGACUUGUGAUAACAUUCAAGUGUAGAGAAGUAAAUUAGAUGUAGACACGGCCAAGGAAAGAAUUACAAACACAUGCAAGGCCAG